UUUGCAUAAAAGAAAGCCUAUAUGUUUUAGCAUUGGUCACAAUGUGGUUAUGACUGAGAAUAAAAACAACUAUUCAUCAGUCUUAUAUUCUAGGAGUUCUACUCCAUAUAUUAGGACACUGUACUGUUGGUCUUCACGAAAAUGAUCGUGAAUUGCGUAUGACACACGCUUGUGCAUACUGAUAAGCUAACUAGAAGAUAUGGAGCGAAUAGGAAUAAGAAACGAGUUGAAAAAACCAAGGUCGUUCCUUAGCUGAAAUCAAAUAGUACUACUACCGACAAACUAAAAGACAAACGCAGAAAUCAAUCGAUAAACGUACACAUCGUAAUGCUUCCGCGAGAAAAUAUCGAACAAUGCUAUAUCUGGAAGCAAAAAAUUGAAGCAAGCGUGUUUACUAAGGCGGCGACAAGCUACAAACGAUUGCAUCAUGUAUAUGUGUGCUCGAGCAGAGAGGGACAAAAUUUUAUUCAAAUAUUAGAUGAUAACUCGCUGCUUUUACUUGUUCAACGUGGGAUGACAGUUUCGCUAUGCAAUUCAGAUUAGUUUUUAUUGGAGCAAAUAACGAAUUGUUUAUUUUUCUUUACAUGGGAGUUUUGUUUAUUCCUGGUCUCGAGAAGAGAGUAAAAUCGUCGCUUAGAUUUUGUAAGGCUUGCGCAAAAAAAAAAGAUUGAGAAACAAGGGGUGGGGAAUAAGUAGAGCUACAUUCGAGACCAAUGGCGUGAAUGGUCUCCCACUCCGAACACGCUUAGUACGAACGAGCAAUAGAAGUUCUCCAUGAGAUCUUCAUGGCUGUCAGUCGUGGUCGGUGCGUUUGGGCUUCCACAUUCCCGCUGGAAGCUUUCACGGGGUCUUCCAGACUUUCGUGCACGGUCCUCGAGUAGACGAGUCGUUAUUUGCCAUCGUUAAGUUCAGAGAACGGAAUGAGCCAGACAUUGCUAUUCCAAGGAAUUAAAGAACUACAUUUUUGGACGAUUCAUGUGAAAGAGCAAAUGUCUAUCGAACACAGUCUAAUUUAUACAUCACGAGCUGCUAUAGUGUAUUUCCUAGUGUUCUUAGUGAACGACUUGAUGAAAGGAACGAGUUCGUGAUUGACUGUCGAUGUUUGUGUUGAUUUAGUUACGUUGGCUCGCCAGCAACGCGGAAGGAUUCCUCUGUAAACGCGCCACGACGCAGUGGCACGAGGAUUGAAGGUGUUUCGCAGAAGUCGUAGCUCGGCGAGAUCGCUUAAUUAAAAUGCCCUCAGUAGGCAAUUGCCAUUAUUCUCUGUGAAGUAUUCUGACGUUGGAAAGCUGUUCAGAGCCUCGACUAACGGGUCUUUCCUUAAAUUGUUCGUUGGCGCAAAGUCUUAUCAAAUCUACAAACCGUUGAUAGGAACGUAAUUCUAGUCUGAAUAUUCAAGACUUUAAAAAUUUAAAUUACAAACUAUGAGCUUAAAGUAUUAUACAUAUAAUGGUACCGUAAUAUUAUUAUCUGAAAUAAUAAUGCUUGUACUAUCUACAGUUCCAGAUAAAACGGCUGGUGAUUCAUUAUCGGGCUCGUUCUGUCUCCAAUUAUUAUAGAAUCACCUGCUUCUUACAUACACACUCCACAUACAUUGAAAAAAUAUUUUUCCUCGCGCACAUCUUAUCUCGACUUUUGGGAUUUACGUACCUAUAAAUUGUGUUCCGUAGCAUAAAGAUAAAAAUUAGUAGUCUGUUAAAUGUAUUCAGUUAACACUUCUAUCGCGCAUUUCACGCGUCCACGAGACUGUGAAACUCGCGGAUUCGCUUUGACGAACAAUUAAAUUUUCAAGUCUUUCCCGAGCUGCGUUUAAAGUUGCGUUAACGACUGGAGGUAAUUUCUCCUUGAGUUUACUUCCUACUCUUGCGGGUCGAUGACCGAUCUCGAUUGCCUGUAGUAUCUAAUACACGUGAACUUCCUCAGUCUUGAAUGUUUCUUUUCCAGUAAAAAGAUUUACAGCAAUUUCGAUUGAAAUUUCGUUCUGGUUUCUUGCUAUAAUUAAUUAUCAAGAUGAAGGCAGGUCCCAAGGACAUAUUACGUAGCCGCGUGUUUGACUAUGGAAGGAAUUAAUCAUUGGUUUGGACAUUGACGAGCUUUCGCCUAAGCCUUUCAGUUUGUGUCUGCUUCCUGUUGGGAAUACGGCAUACCCGAUUUAAAUGCGUAGCGAGUAUUCUUAAAACGUUUGGACGGCCUUUAUUAUACUGUUAUGCUAAUUGUACCGGUGGAAAUGUUUUGUAGAAACGUACAGUCAGUCACAGAAGAGUACCUUACUAGAACAAUGAUUAUUUCUAUUCAGAGGAAUCUGUAUGGAUGAAUGUACAAAGUAUUUGUACACCCAUCUGACGUGACAUAAAAAGCCAAAGUAAACUAAGAAUAUACUGCGUAGGACUAUUUACGUUCACAAGGACCGAGAAAGUAUUAAUACACCUAUCUAAUAUGGGUCGAAAGGUUGAAGUAAACUGAGAAUCCGUGUAGAAUUAUUUAUAUUUACAAAAGCCACGAAACUAUUAGUAUCCACGUUUAAUAUAGGGUCUAAAGCUGAAGCAAGCUAAGAGUGUAUCGUGUCGUAGGAUUAUUUAUAUUCAGAAUUAUUAACAAAGCGAUAGCAUGAUAAAAACAGUACUCGUGAACUCUAAAAUACUUUAGAUACGUGUUUAUAAACUCGUAUGCCAUUA
Long non-coding RNA from Hylaeus volcanicus, 2675 nucleotides. RefSeq lists it as uncharacterized. The record is from RefSeq and is a predicted model, not a curated record. The transcript is spliced from 3 exons. NCBI's taxonomy places the organism in Eukaryota, Metazoa, Arthropoda, Insecta, Hymenoptera, Colletidae.